GCUAUUUCAGGACGGCGAUCCUGGUCGGCCGCUCAUCGUCGGACGGAUCGUCGAGCCGGCACGUCGCGGUUCGACACCGCAAACGGUUC
This 89-nucleotide transfer RNA is filed under the name Mesorhizobium sp. 131-2-1. RNAcentral's name for it is "tRNA-Ser". The record is from RNAcentral. Lineage: Bacteria; Pseudomonadati; Pseudomonadota; Alphaproteobacteria; Hyphomicrobiales; Phyllobacteriaceae.